This 2136-nucleotide long non-coding RNA is filed under the name Homo sapiens (human). RNAcentral's name for it is "non-protein coding lnc-SP5-1:1". Lineage: Eukaryota; Metazoa; Chordata; Mammalia; Primates; Hominidae. The record is from RNAcentral.
UGGAGAAGGUGUGUGGGGUGUUAUUGUACACACACACACACACACACACACACACACACACACACAGGUUUUUUUGUGUUUUUUUUUUUUUGAGAUGGAGUCUCACUCUGUCACCCAGGCUGGAGUACAGUAAUGCGAUCUCAGCUCACUACAACCUCCGCCUCCCAGGUUCAAGUGAUUCUCCUGCCUCAGCCUCCGUAAGUAGCUGGGACUACAGCCAAGCGCCACUACACCCAGCUAAUUUUUUGUAUUUUUAGUAGAGAUGGGGUUUCACCAUGUUGGCCAACACACUAAACCUAUAUAUAUAUAAUAGGUGUUAUUAUAUAUGUAUAUAUAUUUUAAAAACCUAUAUACAAAUAUAUAUUAUGGCUGAGCAUGGUGGCUCAUUCCUGUAAUCCCAACACUUUGGGAGGCCGAGGCGGGUGGAUCACCUGAAGUCAGGAGUUCAACUCCAGCCUGGGCAACAGAGUGAGACUCUGUCUCAAAAAAAUAAAAAAUAAAUAAAAAAUUAAAAUAUAAAUAUUAUAUGUAUGUGUGUAUGUAUAUAAAACCUAUAUAUUUAUAUAUAAAAAUAAUAUAUAGAAUAUAAUUAUAUUAUAUAUCUAUUAUAUAGAUGUGUGUAUAUGUAUUUAAAAUAUAUAAAAUAUAGAUUUUAUAUAUAUACACACACAUAUAUUUUAAAAACCUAUAUAUAAAUAUAUGUUUUAUAUAUAUACAUCUAUAUAAUAGAGGUGUAUUUUAUAUAUAUUUUAUAUAAAUGUAUGUUUUAUAUAUACAUACAUCUAUAUAAUAAAGGUGUAUUUUAUAUCUAUUAUAUAUAAAUAUAUAGGUUUUAUAUAUACAUAUAUAUAACAGAUGUUACAUAUACACUACGUAGCUUUAGUAGUUUUAUCCUUUCAGAACACACACACACACACACACACACACACACACACAGACUACUGGUGGAUACUAAGAUUAUUUCCAGUUGUUUGCUAGCAGUGCUCAAUAAACAAUCCUAAAUAUUAAACAUGUGUGAGGAUUUCUUUAGGGGAGAUUCUGAGCAGUUGACCUUUUCCAAGAGAAAAUGAUGUGCUCCAUCUGUAAAUCACUGAUUCUCCAACCUUCUCACACAACAGAAGCUCCUGGAAGGCUAGCUAAAAUGCAGAUUGGUGGGCCUCAUCCCCAGAGUUUCUGAUUCAGUGAGAAAGAAAGAGGGAGAGAGAGAGAGAGAGAAGAGAGAAUUUGCAUUUCUAAUAAGUUUCCAGGUCAUGCUGCAGCUGCUGAUGAGGACACUACACUGACAGCCACUGUUCUAGGUGUAUGUUGGGGAGACUAUCCUGUGGAAGAGAUCAUAGUUGAGGUUUUAAAGCCCCUAAUAGAUUAUCUAGGGAUAUUUUAGGAGGCUUCCAACUUAUUAUCCAAACAUAAGACAAUAACUCAAGAUUUAUCACAGUAACAGUAUCAGAUCAAUGAUAAACAUCUAUUUUAAAAAUCACAGAAUCCAUUCUUUUUUUUUUUUUUUUUUUUUUGAGAUGUAGUUUCGCUCUUGUUGCCCAGGCUGGAGUGCAAUGGCGCAAUCUUGGCUCACCACAACCUCCACCUCCCAGGUUCAAGCAAUUCUCUUGCCUCAGCCUCCCAAGUAGCUGGGAUUACAGGCAUACACCACCACGCCUGACUAAUUUUGUAUUUUUAGUAGAGACGGGGUUUCUCCAUGUUGAGGCUGGUCUCGAACUCCUGACCUCAGGUGAUCCGCCCGCCUCGGCCUCCCAGAGUGCUGGGAUUACAGGCGUGAGCCACCGUGCCUGGCUUAGAAUCCAUUCUUUUUAACCAAGAGAGAAGUCAACCUAGAAUCUUUGUUAGAAGGAAUCUUGAAGGGUCAUCCAGUCCAACUACCUGGCUAGGCUUUCAUCAGUAGCAUUCUUGACCUCAUCAACUAGCGUCCCAUUGAAUAGAUUCAGUGUUUAUGAAUUCACUCCCCAGCUCCUGAAGUAGCCCAUUCCCUGUGUCGAGAUGUCUGAUCACCAUCAUGUCCUUCAUAACCCUGACCAUAGGAAACCAUCCUUCAGAAGCUUCUAAGCAUCUACCCCGGUUCUACCCUCAAGGCUUUACUGAACAAAUCAUUUCCCUUCUCCACUUGAUGGCAGUCAAUUAUCA